This 658-nucleotide ribosomal RNA is filed under the name uncultured Bacteroidales bacterium. RNAcentral describes it as "bacterial SSU rRNA". It matches the Rfam family "Bacterial small subunit ribosomal RNA", at positions 67 to 722 of the family's 1533-position model. Lineage: Bacteria; Pseudomonadati; Bacteroidota; Bacteroidia; Bacteroidales. The record is from RNAcentral.
GGAUUGAAGCUUGCUUCAAUUGCCUGGCGACCGGCGCACGGGUGCGUAACGCGUAUGUAACCUACCUAUAACAGGGGCAUAACACUGAGAAAUUGGUACUAAUUCCCCAUAAUAUUCGGAGAGGCAUCUCUCCGGGUUGAAAACUCCGGUGGUUAUAGAUGGACAUGCGUUGUAUUAGCUAGUUGGUGAGGUAACGGCUCACCAAGGCAACGAUACAUAGGGGGACUGAGAGGUUAACCCCCCACACUGGUACUGAGACACGGACCAGACUCCUACGGGAGGCAGCAGUGAGGAAUAUUGGUCAAUGGACGCAAGUCUGAACCAGCCAUGCCGCGUGCAGGAAGACGGCUCUAUGAGUUGUAAACUGCUUUUGUACGAGGGUAAACUCACCUACGUGUAGGUGACUGAAAGUAUCGUACGAAUAAGGAUCGGCUAACUCCGUGCCAGCAGCCGCGGUAAUACGGAGGAUUCAAGCGUUAUCCGGAUUUAUUGGGUUUAAAGGGUGCGUAGGCGGUUUGAUAAGUUAGAGGUGAAAUCCCGGGGCUUAACUCCGGAACUGCCUCUUAUACUGUUAGACUAGAGAGUAGUUGCGGUAGGCGGAAUGUAUGGUGUAGCGGUGAUAUGCUUAGAGAUCAUACAGUACACCGAUUGCGAAGGC